RNAcentral lists this small RNA (77 nucleotides) under Xanthomonas hortorum. Its description in RNAcentral is "sX9 sRNA". It matches the Rfam family "Xanthomonas sRNA sX9". Lineage: Bacteria; Pseudomonadati; Pseudomonadota; Gammaproteobacteria; Lysobacterales; Lysobacteraceae. The record is from RNAcentral.
AUCUACCACUCGUGCAUUCCGGUUCGUCCGCGCCUUCCACGCCCAUUCUGAUGACCGGUCGCUACAUUUCGUUAGCC